GCCAAAGGUGGAUUAAACGGGAAUGUUAACUGAACAACCAUUCCCGACUACCGAGAACGAAGCGACGGGGCUGUGAACUCCCAAGCAGGGAAGGAAACGCCGCGACGGACCCAGCACUGUGCGCUCUGGAAAGAAUUCCUCUUUUCGCGUUACGCACCCGGCAGGCAGGCGGGGACCCCCUCAAAGCACCGGCUCGGAGCGGGUCGCACGAGAACUGAAGCGAGGCUUAAAUAGAAAGGAGCAAACAUGGAACCCAGGCAUCUGGCUCCAGAGUGCGUGUUCACAGCCUCUCCGCUCUCCUCAUCCUUUCAAAGGUAAAGACAGGUGUCUCUCCAAUGUGGUCAUCAAGACAGCUUUUGGCUGGAAGGACUUCCGGGCAUCAUGCAGAGGUGAGUCUGACCUGGGAGAGAAAAGGAAAAAACCAAGAAGGAAAACAGGAGGAAUGGUGGCUCUGUCCGUUUCCAAAAUGUAAAAGCUAAGGCAGAAUCAGAUUCUUCCUGAAGCAAAAUCUGCAUCGUCACAGCUGUCACUGGGGGGAAAAAUGCAAGUUUAGAGAACUAAACUCAUCCUCAUGUUUUGAAUACAAUUGCUUUGGGGCCGCAUUCUCUGAUGAGAUGCUAAUAAAUGUUUUCCAUCAUG
Hyaena hyaena (striped hyena) is the source of this 639-nucleotide long non-coding RNA. RefSeq lists it as uncharacterized. The transcript has 3 exons. The record is from RefSeq and is a predicted model, not a curated record. NCBI's taxonomy places the organism in Eukaryota, Metazoa, Chordata, Mammalia, Carnivora, Hyaenidae.